This 349-nucleotide long non-coding RNA is filed under the name Marmota monax (woodchuck). The record is from RNAcentral. Lineage: Eukaryota; Metazoa; Chordata; Mammalia; Rodentia; Sciuridae.
GAGGGGCGGGCCGGGUCCCAGUGCAGCAGAGCCGGUGGACCGCAGGCGCUGCGGGCUCAGCUCCCAUGCGGGCGCAGCUCUGGUUGGAGGCUGGGACACGGCUCUGGCAGUGGCUUCUGGAUGGAGCGAUGACUGGACGGUGAGUGAUGCCCGGGCAGGAGUGUUAGUGGGCGUCCAUGGAGCACCACACCCCCGAGCCCCGGGCUGUCACCCGGCAGAUGCGCUGGAGCCUGGGCACUUGUGCCCUUUGACCGUUGCGCGCGGAGUCUCCUCCCACUGCCAGCCUGGCGCAUUGCGGGCUUCGGGCCCAAAGCUUUCAAUGGGCACUGUGCCUGGCACCUCCUUCAAG